Arvicanthis niloticus (Nile rat) is the source of this 162-nucleotide small nuclear RNA. RefSeq annotates it as U1 spliceosomal RNA. The record is from RefSeq and is a predicted model, not a curated record. Lineage: Eukaryota; Metazoa; Chordata; Mammalia; Rodentia; Muridae.
AUACCCACAUGGCAGGGGAGAUACCAUAAUAAUAAGUUGGUUUUCCCAGGGCAAUGGUUAUCCAUUGCACUCCAGAUGUGAUCACUCUGUAAUUUUCCCUAAUGUGGGAAACCUGACGGCAUAAUUUGGGGGAAGGGUAGACUAAGAUCACACUCUCCCCUA